CAGAUUUUUUAUUUUAUAUGUUUACAAAGCCUUAUUUGUAAUUUUUGGCAAAUAAGGUUUUGGCAGCUUUGAAAAAGAGUCAUGAUUUGUUCCUCUUAACAAAGAGUAAUGAGAUGAUCUUGUAUUUGGCUCGAUGGCACAACAUCUUUUAGGAUGUUUUAUAAUCAUUUUUUCCCUAUGAUAAAUGUGGUCGCUUUAAGAUAAUGCUGGUCCAUUGCAGAAAUUUCGGAGAAUGUGACAAGGCGACUACGCAUCCAUAAUCCCACCACCCAGACAAUCACUGUUAACAUUUUGGUAUGUUUUCCUUCACUGAGGCAUGUGACUGGAAUGGUUAAAACCUUCCUAUGUACAUACCUUUGUAUACUGCUCUUUACACUUAAUUUUCUACUAUCAGCACUAAUGAUCGCUAAAAACAUUAAAGAUCUUUUUAAUAACUUUAUUCCUUUUCAGACGGUUGUGCUAUCAUUUACUUAUCCAUUCUUUUAAAGUAGGACGUUUAGGCUGUAUUCAGGUUUUCUGCUCUUAUAAGCAAUGCUGUAUUGGACAUCUUUAUGCAUACGUUUCUGUUGGUGUUUUCGACUAUUUCCUUAGGACAGACUUCUUGAUGCCAAUUAUUGAGCAGAGCAUAUGAAUCUUUCACAAAUGUUUGUUUAUAAUAUGUAGCAUACACACAGGCUCAUACUUGUCUUAUUUUUUAGUUGACAAAUUAUGGUUGGUUGUUCUUAACUAAAAAAAUCAUACAUUUGAAAUUAAGUUUUAGUCCCAUAUGAAACGAAAUGAUCAAUGCAUGUUUUAGAUAUUUCUUCAGUGACUGAUGAGACUAAUUAUAUAUUUAACUGAUUUGAUUUAUAACUAGGGUCUACUUAAUCAUAAAUCUGGGCAUCGAGGUGGGAUUAAAGGAUCAAGCAGAUCAGGUUUAGCGACAGGACUAGGGACCAGUGAAAAAGCAACAAGGAGCCCCAAACUCUAUGUAGCCUUAUGAAACAUUUUGGCAUCUGUGCCACCGGGUGAAACAGUAUGCACUCACCUAGCUCCUGAUGUGUAGGAGGUGUUUACAGGGCACGAGGGAAAACGCAAACUUCUUCUCUACAGAUAGAGAAGGUGCAUUAGGCCGGAAAGCACAGCCAGGAAUAUAUGGGUCUUCGACCUGUGGGCCUCCAUGGCCUCCAGAAAACCCCUCCCAUUCACAGCUCCUCUUCUGCUAGAGGAGAGAAGGCACUUCUGGUUUACAAUCCCCACAACACUGGCUGAGGAACACCCAAAGAGCUUCCACCUCUGUCCACACAGCCCCCACCCUUUUGCAUUCAACAUGUGAGGAAGUGAUCAGGUGGCUAUUUUUCAAUGUUCGUUCAAGUUCUGUGUAAGGUUAGCAGAUACAUCAGGCCUGCAGCGAGGCAGUAAUCCCCUCCUCUGGGAUUCCCUGCACUCGCCUCUUAGGAAUGUGUAUGAGUGAGGGAACAUUCAUUCACUCUUUUUAUUCAUCCAUUCAUUUCUCAGUUUGUCCUUUCAUUCAAAAAAGAGUCACUGAAUCUUAUCUACCACUGUGCAGCAGCUCCUGUACUAGGCAACGGAGGACUCAACAGGAGACAUGACAAAGGCGCUGCCCCCGUAAGACUUGUGGCUAAUAAAAGAGGCAAGGAAUGAAACAAGCAAUGGCAACACAGAGGAAAUGCAGGACUGUGGCAGAGGGAUGCUAGGCAGAGGCCUGAUGGCUGUCCCAGAGCAGAAGUGGCCCAGGAGGAAGGGCAGGGCCGCAGGGGGCCGGAGAGGCAAGGAGAAAAUGCUCUAGGCAGGGAGGGGGCAUGAGCUGGGAGAGUAGCAAUGGGCACUGCUUGCAGGAUGACGGCCCAAGGGUUAGCAUCAGAUCCUACUCACAACUGGAAAACAACAGUGCAUUAGAGCAGGAAGCUGCCAACUUGGACAUCUGACAAGGACAGAAAGUAGGGCCCAUAAUGUGAAAGAGCUUGCCCAAGUGCCAAAGGAAGUUGAUUUUGUGCAAGAUGGAUGCACAGGCUUCUGCCACAGGCACAUCAGCCAGAUAUUGGGGUUUUUCUCCGGUAACUUUCCUAUGGGGACUCCAUGUGGACGCAUUCCUGUGUAUAAAUAUGUGUGUUCUGGAUAAUAGUAAUGGUAGCCUUUGGGUUCAAAGAGAAAAUGCUGGACUUCAUAAAAUCCCUUUAUGAACUAAGUUGAAGUCUGAUAUUUGAAGAACUGCAUUAAAUAGGGCUAGAAGAAGUAGCUGCAUUCAUAACACUGAGACAUUCAUAACACUGCAUUCAUAACACUGAGCAUUCACAGCUGAGAGGAUGCACUUCCCUACUGAAUCACUUUAAGACAGAGUUGCAAAUCCCAUUAUCUGUGAGUGCUGUGUGAAUACAUAUGCCAAGACGAAUAGUGAACACAGGAAAUUGUGCUGAAAAUUAAUCGCCCUCAGCAAUCAAUGGGGAUAGGCCCCACACGAGAGAAGGUCCGACUAAGGAUGGAGCGCACUGCGAUGAGACCUUUCUUAUAUGACCUAGGUGCUCCCAAGACUGCAAACUUCCACUCCUUUGUAUCUUUCUUUUCAGCCUGCUAACUGAACCGUGCUAAUGGAUAUCAGAACAGUCCUUGUGGUUUUUCCUAUCAAAUCUGUUAAAAGGGGAAGAAGGUUCCUGUUGUUAAUUGCAGGGGAUCUCCUAUUCUUUGUUUUAAAGAAAGUUUAAACAAAAUGCUCACCCACUCUGGGGCUUUAAAGAAAGUUCAAACAGAACAAAGUUCUCUUGCCAAGGUUUAAGGCGAAUCUCCUCCGUCCAGAUGGCUUCCUCAGGCAGGCCAAUGUAAGAACCCAGACACUCACCCCUGCUGCCUCUUAAUGCCGCGCCUUGAUUGUUGCUAACGAUCCCCAGCUGUCUUUCGUUGCUGGCUCCUUAACCUCUCUCUGCCGGCCACAUCUGCCUGCAACUCUGAGAGGGGAAGAGGAGAUGCUGACAAAAGAGGCAUCCAAGAGAUGCUUUGGAGGCUGCCCCCAAAGCAACGCAGAUGGGGUCCCGAGUCGUGGGACUGUGCACCAGGAACUUGAUUAGAAAUUAAUUCUCCACAAUAAACUUCAGGAAAAAAUGUGAAUGUCAUAUUUCAUAUCAAGGAAAUAAACCUGAUGAUGGGAAAUGCCACUAACCAAGGCAAAUCCACUAAGAAUCCAGGAGUCUGGCCAUGAUACUUGGCAGGUCACUUUCCCUAUUGACUAGUCUACAUAUUUACUGGGCAGCAGCCCGGAAUGGGGUGGUGGCCAUAAGAAUUCCCACUGUGUUCCAGCAACAUGUGUCCACUUUCUCCACGGCCUUCCCCAGCUGCCCCCUUUAUUCCAGCCCAUCACCCAGCAGACAUACUGACUUUUGAUCUGUACCAGAUACAAGUGGGUCACGUCUGCAUCCUGUAUUAAUUUAAUGCUUCCCCUUUGUUUUCUGUGUGUCCUACGAGUGUCUAGCUAUGUCAGCCAGUGGGUCUGAAUAUCCCUGCCUGCCCGGAUGUCCAUUCAAUUCAGACAUUAAAAAGUGCACCUUGUUACUAUCACCCCAUAGGGUGCACUACAGUCUAAUAGAUAAAUCCACAUCAUCAAUAGUAAUCUAAGUACCCUCUCUAUGCUCUGUACCCCUUCUUCCCCAAACCCUAUUUCUUUUUUUUUUUUUUUUUUUUUUUUUUUUUGAUGAGCAGUCAGAACACACACAGCAUUUAUUGGAAGUUUUCCAUCUUAUAUGGGCACAGUUUGUGGCUCCCCAAAACAAUUAGAAUAGUAAUAUCAAAGAUCACUGAUCACAGAUCACCAUAACAGAUAUAAUAAUAAUGAGAAACUGAAAUGUCGCAAAAAUUACCAAAAUGUGACCCAGAGACAGGAAGUGAGCGCAUGCUGUUGGACAAAUGGCACUGAUAGAUUUGCUUGACACAGGGUUGCCAGAAACCUUCCAUUUGUUAAAAAAUGCAAUAUUUGCGAAGUACAAUAAAGUGAAACACAGUAAAAUGAGGUGUGCUGGGCAUCCUGCCAUUUAUGCACAUGCCUCUUUAGGUAGAAAAUAAUCCUGUAACAGUUGAGGCUGUGGUUGCCUUUCUGAGACUCUUGUCUACAGAAAUGGUCAACUGGUGGCCAGCUGGCCAAAGGGCUAAUCUAGCCCACAGACAUGUUUAGUUGGGGCUACAUAGAGCUUUUUACAAAUUUGAGUCAAUAUUUAGAAAAUAAAAGUCUGGAUUUUGGGAUUCCCUUACAAAAACUGGAAAAUUUGGCCACACUGGGUCAUAUUCCCACAUAGUCGUGGUGGUUGGGGUUCAGUAGCAGUAGCUGCUGCCCCUUAAGACAGGUCCCCAUGGUCCCCACUCAGUUGCUUCCUUAUUUAUCUUACAAGCCUGGCAAGGAAUUUGAGUUGAACUGAUCUAGAAGAUUGGUGCUAAGAACCAGCUCAGUGGCUUAGCUGUCCUGGGGUCUGCAGGAGAAGGCUUCUUUGUUAGGCCCAGGCAGGAAGUCUGGGCAUGGAUUGAGGUUUUUUUUUUUUUUUUUUUUGACCUUUUAAAUAUUUAUUUAUUUUUUAUUUUAUUUUAUUUUAUUUUAUUUAUUUAUUUAUUUUUAAUUGAUCAUUCUUGGGUGUUUCUCGCAGAGGGGGAGUUGGCAGGGUCAUAGGACAAUAGUGGAGGGAAGGUCAGCAGAUAAACAAGUGAACAAAGGUCUCUGGUUUUCCUAGGCAGAGGACCCUGCGGCCUUCCGCAGGGUUUGUGUCCCUGGGUACUUGAGAUUAGGGAGUGGUGAUGAUUCUUAACGAGCAUGCUGCCUUCAAGCAUCUGUUUAACAAAGCACAUCUUGCACCGCCCUUAAUCCAUUUACCCUGAGUGGACACAGCACAUGUUUCAGAGAGCACAGGGUUGGGGGUAAGGUCACCGAUCAACAGGAUCCCAAGGCAGAAGAAUUUUUCUUGGUACAGAACAGAAUGAAAAGUCUCCCAUGUCUACUUCUUUCUACACAGACGCGGCAACCAUCCGAUUUCCCAAUCUUUUCCCCACCUUUCCCCCCUUUCUAUUCCACAAAACCGCCAUUGUCAUCCCUGCCCGUUCUCAAUGAGCUGU
RNAcentral lists this long non-coding RNA (5085 nucleotides) under Homo sapiens (human). RNAcentral's name for it is "HSALNT0110939". Lineage: Eukaryota; Metazoa; Chordata; Mammalia; Primates; Hominidae. The record is from RNAcentral.